ACGAAAAAUAACGAUACGGGACUCAUCCGAGGCCCCGUAAUCGGAAUGAGUACACUCUAAACCCUUUAACGAGGAUCAAUUGGAGGGCAAGUCUGGUGCCAGCAGCCGCGGUAAUUCCAGCUCCAAUAGCGUAUAUUAAAGUUGUUGCGGUUAAAAAGCUCGUAGUCGAAUUUGUGUCCCGCGCCGCCGGUUCAUCGCUCGCGGUGUCAACUGGCGUGUCCGCGGGACGUCCUGCCGGUGGGCUUAGCCUCUCGGGGCGGCCCAAUCCCAAUCCCACCGCGGUGCUCUUCACUGAGUGUCGAGGUGGGCCGGCACGUUUACUUUGAACAAAUUAGAGUGCUUAAAGCAGGCUAAAACAUCGCCUGAAUACUGUGUGCAUGGAAUAAUGGAAUAGGACCUCGGUUCUAUUUUGUUGGUUUUCGGAACCCCGAGGUAAUGAUUAAUAGGAACGGAUGGGGGCAUUCGUAUUGCGACGUUAGAGGUGAAAUUCUUGGAUCGUCGCAAGACGGACAGAAGCGAAAGCAUUUGCCAAAAACGCUUUCAUUGAUCAAGAACGAAAGUUAGAGGUUCGAAGGCGAUCAGAUACCGCCCUAGUUCUAACCAUAAACGAUGCCAGCUAGCGAUCCGCCGACGUUCCUCCGAUGACUCGGCGGGCAGCUUCCGGGAAACCAAAGCUUCUGGGUUCCGGGGGAAGUAUGGUUGCAAAGCUGAAACUUAAAGGAAUUGACGGAAGGGCACCACCAGGAGUGGAGCCUGCGGCUUAAUUUGACUCAACACGGGAAACCUCACCAGGCCCGGACACCGGAAGGAUUGACAGAUUGAGAGC
RNAcentral lists this ribosomal RNA (826 nucleotides) under Sarophorus costatus. RNAcentral's name for it is "SSU rRNA". It matches the Rfam family "Eukaryotic small subunit ribosomal RNA", at positions 470 to 1255 of the family's 1831-position model. Lineage: Eukaryota; Metazoa; Arthropoda; Insecta; Coleoptera; Scarabaeidae. RNAcentral also lists the same sequence under 1 other name. The record is from RNAcentral.